ACGCACGCUGGCGGCGUGCUUCACACAUGCAAGUCGAACGGAAAGGCCCUUCGGGGUACUCGAGUGGCGAACGGGUGAGUAACACGUGGGUGAUCUGCCCUGCACUUUGGGAUAAGCCUGGGAAACUGGGUCUAAUACCGGAUAGGACCACGGCAUUCAUGUGCUGUGGUGGAAAGCUUUUGCGGUGUGGGAUGGGCCCGCGGCCUAUCAGCUUGUUGGUGGGGUAAUGGCCUACCAAGGCGACGACGGGUAGCCGGCCUGAGAGGGUGACCGGCCACACUGGGACUGAGAUACGGCCCAGACUCCUACGGGAGGCAGCAGUGGGGAAUAUUGCACAAUGGGCGCAAGCCUGAUGCAGCGACGCCGCGUGAGGGAUGACGGCCUUCGGGUUGUAAACCUCUUUCGCCAGGGACGAAGCGCAAGUGACGGUACCUGGAGAAGAAGGACCGGCCAACUACGUG
This 461-nucleotide ribosomal RNA is filed under the name uncultured bacterium. RNAcentral describes it as "partial 16S ribosomal RNA". It matches the Rfam family "Bacterial small subunit ribosomal RNA", at positions 29 to 507 of the family's 1533-position model. The record is from RNAcentral.